GUGUCAGCAGCCGCGGUAAUACGGAGGAUGCAAGCGUUAUCCGGAAUGAUUGGGCGUAAAGCGUCCGCAGGUGGUGAUGUAAGUCUGCUGUCAAAGCGUCUAGCUCAACUAGAUACAGGCAGUGGAAACUACAUGACUAGAGUGCGUUCGGGGCAGAGGGAAUUCCUGGUGUAGCGGUGAAAUGCGUAGAUAUCAGGAAGAACACCGGUGGCGAAAGCGCUCUGCUAGGCCGCAACUGACACUGAGGGACGAAAGCUAGGGGAGCGAAUGGGAUUAGAAACCCUGGUAGUCC
RNAcentral lists this ribosomal RNA (292 nucleotides) under uncultured bacterium. RNAcentral describes it as "partial 16S ribosomal RNA". It matches the Rfam family "Bacterial small subunit ribosomal RNA", at positions 505 to 796 of the family's 1533-position model. The record is from RNAcentral.